UACGAAGGGGGCUAGCGUUGCUCGGAAUCACUGGGCGUAAAGCGCACGUAGGCGGCUCUUUAAGUCAGAGGUGAAAUCCCAAGGCUCAACCUUGGAACUGCCUUUGAUACUGGGGAUCUCGAGUCCGGAAGAGGAGAGUGGAAUUCCUGGUGUAGCGGUGAAAUGCGCAGAUAUCAGGAAGAACACCCGUGGCGAAGGCGGCUCUCUGGGACGGUACUGACGCUGAGACGCGAAAGCGUGGGGAGCGAACAGG
This 253-nucleotide ribosomal RNA is filed under the name uncultured bacterium. Its description in RNAcentral is "partial 16S ribosomal RNA". It matches the Rfam family "Bacterial small subunit ribosomal RNA", at positions 524 to 776 of the family's 1533-position model. The record is from RNAcentral.